This 224-nucleotide unclassified non-coding RNA is filed under the name Hevea brasiliensis (rubber tree). The record is from RNAcentral. Lineage: Eukaryota; Viridiplantae; Streptophyta; Magnoliopsida; Malpighiales; Euphorbiaceae.
UGAGAUUUCAUCUAUUGUUAUCAUUACUUUAAUACCAUUAUUUUGAUUAAUAUCAUUAAAAUUACAUUUAAAGUCCAAAGUGUUUCAUAUGUCUGGUGGAGGGUAAAUUUGAAGGGAAAGAGACAUUACUUUGAACUUUGUUGAUUUACUCUUCAGAAAUUUUAUGAGAUAUCAAGUUUGAUUUCCAAUUUUAAUUCAAAUAAAAAAUAAAUGGCGAACUGUCA